This is an unclassified non-coding RNA of Pongo abelii (Sumatran orangutan), 148 nucleotides long. It matches the Rfam family "Metazoan signal recognition particle RNA". From Rfam's summary of the family: The signal recognition particle (SRP) is a universally conserved ribonucleoprotein. It is involved in the co-translational targeting of proteins to membranes. The record is from Ensembl. Lineage: Eukaryota; Metazoa; Chordata; Mammalia; Primates; Hominidae.
GCUGGGCAUGGUGGCACAUGCCCGUAAUCCCAGCUACUCAGGAGGCUGAGGCAGGAGAAUUGCUUGAACCUGGGAGGCCGAGGUUGCAGUGAGCCAAAAUCGUGCCACUGCACUCCAGCCUGGGUGACAGAGCAAGACUCCGUCUCAA